UUGCCUACGGGAGGCAGCAGUGGGGAAUAUUGGGCAAUGGGCGCAAGCCUGACCCAGCAACGCCGCGUGAAGGAAGAAGGCUUUCGGGUUGUAAACUUCUUUUCUCAGGGACGAAGCAAGUGACGGUACCUGAGGAAUAAGCCACGGCUAACUACGUGCCAGCAGCCGCGGUAAUACGUAGGUGGCAAGCGUUAUCCGGAUUUACUGGGUGUAAAGGGCGUGUAGGCGGGAAAGCAAGUCAGCUGUGAAAACCACGGGCUCAACCUGGGGCCCGCAUUUGAAACUGGUUUUCUUGAG
Molecule: ribosomal RNA, 297 nt
Filed under: uncultured bacterium
Lineage: Bacteria
Description: partial 16S ribosomal RNA
Rfam family: Bacterial small subunit ribosomal RNA
Source: RNAcentral